CGCCCAAAAGCUAGCCCGCCCCAUCACAACCAACAAAUCACUAUUUAUAAACCCUCACGCACUAAAAAUGCUCAAACAAACCAUUUUACCAUCCUAGUAUGGGAGACAGAAAAGAGCCUACGGCGCUAUAAAGAAAGUACCGCAAGGGACUGCUGAAAGAGAAAUGAAACAACCCAGUAAAGCCUAGAAAAGCAGAGAUUACCCCUCGUACCUUUUGCAUCAUGAUUUAGUUAGUAAAAUUUAAGCAAGACUUAUUUUAGUUUAAAACCCCGAAACUAGGUGAGCUACUCCAAGACAGCCUAUCAACCAGGGCACACCCUUCUCUGUGGCAAAAGAGUGGGAAGAGCUUCGAGUAGCGGUGACAGACCUACCGAACUUAGUUAUAGCUGGUUGCUUGAGAGAUGGAUAGGAGUUCAGCCUUUAGGCUUCUUCCUUCAACUUGGUCUCACCACCACUCGUUGUCCAAGAAACCUAAGGAGUUAGUCAAAGGGGGUACAGCCCCUUUGAAAAAAGACACAACUUUCCCAGGAGGAUAAAAAUCAGAAUAAAUAAGGACAAAUGUUAGGGUGGGCCUAAAAGCAGCCAUCCCUGCGGAAUGCGUUAAAGCUCAGACAUUUAAAUAAACCCUUCGAUCCCGAUAACUUUACCUUAACCCCUACAAUUAUCAAGCCGUCCCAUGCCACCAUGGGAGCGAUCCUGCUAACAUGAGUAAUAAGAGGGCCAAGACCCUCUCCCAAGCACAAGUGUACAUCGGAACGAACCGCCACCGAAACUUAACGGCCCCAAUGGAAGAGGGCACUGGACAGCAACAGACCACACCAGAAAAGUAUCCAGGAACUAACCGUUAACCCCACACUGGUGUGCCUAAAGGGAAAGGCUAAAAGAAAGAGAAGGAACUCGGCAAACACCUGAAGCCUCGCCUGUUUACCAAAAACAUCGCCUCUUGCAAAAUUAACGAAUAAGAGGUCCCGCCUGCCCAGUGACUAUAAGUUCAACGGCCGCGGUAUUUUGACCGUGCAAAGGUAGCGCAAUCACUUGUCUUUUAAAUGGAGACCUGUAUGAAUGGCAUCACGAGGGCUUAGCUGUCUCCUUUUUCCAGCCAAUGAAAUUGAUCUUUCCGUGCAGAAGCGGGAAUAACAACAUAAGACGAGAAGACCCUAUGGAGCUUUAGACACUAAGACAGAUCACGUCAAACACCCCAGUUUAACGGGCUGAACUAAAUGAACCCUGUCCUAAUGUCUUUGGUUGGGGCGACCCUGGGGAGACAAAUAACCCCCAUGUGGAAUGGAAACACCAUAUUUCCAGAACCAAGAGCUAACCGCUCUAAGGAGCAGAAUUUCUGACCAUUUUAGAUCCGGCUACUGCCGAUCAGCGGACCGAGUUACCCUAGGGAUAACAGCGCAAUCCUCUUUUAGAGCCCAUAUCGACAAGGGGGUUUACGACCUCGAUGUUGGAUCAGGACAUCCUAAUGGUGCAGCCGCUAUUAAGGGUUCGUUUGUUCAACGAUUAAAGUCCUACGUGAUCUGAGUUCAGACCGGAGUAAUCCAGGUCAGUUUCUAUCUAUGGUAUGACCUUUUCUAGUACGAAAGGACCGAAAAGGAGGGGCCAAUGCUCAAAGCACGCCUCACCCCCACCUAGUGAAGACAACUAAAAUAGGUAAGGGGGCAUGCCCACCAGCCUGAGAGCAUGGCAU
RNAcentral lists this ribosomal RNA (1693 nucleotides) under Pseudolabrus eoethinus. RNAcentral's name for it is "16S ribosomal RNA". The stretch from base 108 to 1581 matches the Rfam family "Bacterial large subunit ribosomal RNA". The record is from RNAcentral. Lineage: Eukaryota; Metazoa; Chordata; Actinopteri; Labriformes; Labridae.